UACGAAGGGGGCUAGCGUUGCUCGGAAUCACUGGGCGUAAAGGGUGCGUAGGCGGGGCUUUAAGUCAGGGGUGAAAUCCUGGAGCUCAACUCCAGAACUGCCUUUGAUACUGGCGAUCUUUGAGUCCGGGAGAGGUGAGUGGAACUCCGAGUGUAGAGGUGAAAUUCGUAGAUAUUCGGAAGAACACCAGUGACGAAGGCGGCUCACUGGCCCGGUACUGACGCUCAUGUGCGAAAGCGUGGGGAGCAAACAGG
RNAcentral lists this ribosomal RNA (254 nucleotides) under uncultured bacterium. RNAcentral describes it as "partial 16S ribosomal RNA". It matches the Rfam family "Bacterial small subunit ribosomal RNA", at positions 524 to 776 of the family's 1533-position model. The record is from RNAcentral.